Pyrgilauda ruficollis (rufous-necked snowfinch) is the source of this 2695-nucleotide long non-coding RNA. RefSeq lists it as uncharacterized. The record is from RefSeq and is a predicted model, not a curated record. The transcript is spliced from 3 exons. NCBI's taxonomy places the organism in Eukaryota, Metazoa, Chordata, Aves, Passeriformes, Passeridae.
GCUGCUUUUAGGAGCGAGUUUUCCAUCAUUUCAAAGGCUGGUGCUGUUCCAAACCCCUCCAGUGCUCUGGAUGUUGCAGCUUCGAGGGGCUUGGAGCUGUGUUUCACAUAAAAUCCUACUUGUGGUUGAAGGUAAAACAGCCCCGCCCUGGUCAUCCCACAGGACUGCUUUUUGCAGCGUUUCUGGAGGUUUAAGUUACUUCCACGAUGGGAUUUGUCUUCCUUCCCUCAGCACAGUGUGCUGUGUUCUAAAAUCAGCUUCCCAAGCAAAGCCGUUCCCGCAGCGGGAAGCUUCCCGCCGUGAGGAGCUGUUUGUGGAGUCUGAUGGAGCCUGACAGACGGGGCCCGUGGCUGUGUCCUCCUUCCCAACAGCCAGCUCCUGCGGGAAAACAAAGUGCAGGACACUCUCUUUGGAAGCCACGGGGCAGCAGAGGGAUUUAGCAGCUCCCUCAGGACGUUUGGAUCGCGCGCUCUGCCAGCCGUGAGCUGCCGGUGUUUAUCCAAAGCUCUCGGGACAUGUUGUUCAGGCCCUGGGGUGGGAGGGAAGUGCUGUUGAUUUGCCCCUUCCCUGUGUUUUUUAUCCCUCACAGCUUUGGGAAGGAGUCUUUGAGCUCUGACGUGGAGCCAGUCUUGUUUUCUCAGCGUGAUCCAGCCGCGUGUCGGAAUCCGCUUCAGCGGCAGACAGGAACGGGACAUCAGGAAACUCUGUUGGUUGGAUUUCUCUUGCACUAGAGGUUUUAUGAUCUCCUGUGACCUAAAAAACAGCCUUUUAUUAAAAAAAAGAAAGGGAACGUGUUCCCAGUGGGUCCGUGUUGAUGCAAAUCCCACAUGGAGGAGUCCAGCAGUGGCCAGCAUGCCUGGACAUGGGGGCUUUCAUCUGUUUUCCCUCUCCCCGUUUAUAGCAAAUGGAGAAGCAGCUGGGAUCUGUGUCCUUGUGCCUUGGAUGUGAAUGCACAGGUUUCACAGCAGGAUUGGUGUCAGAAGGAACAGAGUGAGUGAAGGAAGGGCUGUGAUUCAUGGGAGCCUCUGGCUUGGUUCCCAGAGCAGACUCCUUGUGUCUUGAAGGACCGGCAAGUAUGGAGGAGCCUGACCACAAAUAUUUCACCAGGACUCAAUAUCUCCUGCACCUUUCCCACUGGGCUCAGCUGCGGAGCGCUGGAGGUGGAUCAUGCAGCGAUCACUGGUGAUAAAGUCCUGUUUCCAUUGCCAAAUAUUCCCUGGCAAACGUGGGACGUGGCGCUGAGUGCUCCUGUGGGGACUCGCAUGUGGUUUCCACCUCGCCAAGGAGAGCUGUGCCUGAGGAGCAGGAGUUUCUCCCAGCUGUGCUGUCAGGGACACAAACUCCCCAGCUCUGGGACUCGCACUGACCCUUCUCCUAAAGAAUCCAGGCAUACAUUUUUCUGGAGCAGCUGGUAUUGGAUUGGAAGGUCAUAGUGGUGGUGGAGGUGGUGGGAAGGGAGCUGAUUUUCCCAAGGUGACGUUGGAAGUCUGUGGCAUGAGUGCAGCUGUGCUUCCAUCUUAAUUCCAUCCUUCUUGUCCCUUUGUUCCCUCAUCCCCAAGAAUCCAUGUGCUGUUAACACACUCAGAAUUAAGGCAAAUGUGACUGCCCAGCUGCCAGGGCUGUGCUGCCAAGGUGCUGCACCUGAGGCGAGCACAGCAGGAACCUGGAGCAGCAGGAAUUGUUACUCUGCAUUCCCCCAGCCAGUUUCUGCCUUCCAAAGUGCAAGGGUCGAUUUUCCAUGAAAUUUGCCCAUUUGUUGUCACACAACUCGCAGGAAAAGGGUUUUCUCUGUGGCUUCUCCCUCGUUUGCCUGGAAUCAGGAAUGUAUUAGAACUGGUCUUGCAGAGGAUCAGGCAAGAAGAGGACUUGAUUGCAGACAUCUCAUUUCCGUAGGAAAUGGGGCUAAAAAUAGGGAAGGAAUGUAAAGGAGACUUCUUUUUCUUGACACCCGCCCCGUUCCCCAGCUGGGAAUCAGCUUUUGUCCCAAAAUCUGUUUAUUGCCUCGCUGUUGUUUUCUGGGCCCCAGAUGUAGCAAUGAGCUUGAUUUUUGCUUUGGAGAAGCCGGAGCAGGGCUGUUUCCAGGGGCUGAUGCACAAGGAGGACACACGUGAUGGCAAGAUGGGUUUCUGGGAGAGGCCUGCUGGCUCUCCAGGCUCUCCACGACAGUCCCUGUGUUAUCCAGGGGCCUCCCUCCAGCACUGAUCCCGCUGGCAGCAGCUGUGAUCCCGAUAACCCUGUGGCUGGUUGAGAGCUGAUGUCCCUGUAGGCACCAGGACGUUCCCUUUGGACACCUGAUAGGGGCUAUAAAUACCAGGUGGGUUCAUGUUCCCUCAAGCACAGAGUGGGCUGUGCCAAGUCACCCCAGAUGGUCAGGCUGAGAGAUCCCUGUGCCAGAGAAAUGACUGCAGCCUUUGGAAAAGGGACCGAGCCCCUGAUGUGGGCAUUUGAAGGCUCCACACCCUUGGCCAGGUCCCUUCUCCCAGUUUCUUUUUUUGCAGCACUGGUGUCACCUGGGAUCUGUGUCCCACGGGUCAGAAGUGUUCUGGGGUCUGAUGGAGAGAGUCAAGAUGCUGCUCAAGGUGUUGUCAGGCUUGUCCCCUCUUCCCAGGAUGUCCAAGGCACAUCCAUGCCAGCUCCAGGACGGGAUGACGACAGCCUCUGCUGGCCAGGAGAGAGGAGGAGGAGGAGGAGGAGG